UAUCUCCUAGUAGGUGGGUAUAGGGGGUUCUCCUAGUAGGUGGGUAUAGGGAGUUCUCCUAGUAGGUGGGUAUAGAGGGGUUCUCCUAGUAGGUGGGUAUAGGGAGUUCUCCUAGUAGGUGGGUAUAGGGGGUUCUCCUAG
Salvelinus sp. IW2-2015 is the source of this 141-nucleotide non-coding RNA. The record is from RefSeq and is a predicted model, not a curated record. NCBI's taxonomy places the organism in Eukaryota, Metazoa, Chordata, Actinopteri, Salmoniformes, Salmonidae.